Transfer RNA from Loxodonta africana (African savanna elephant), 71 nucleotides. It matches the Rfam family "tRNA". From Rfam's summary of the family: Transfer RNA (tRNA) molecules are approximately 80 nucleotides in length. Their secondary structure includes four short double-helical elements and three loops (D, anti-codon, and T loops). Further hydrogen bonds mediate the characteristic L-shaped molecular structure. tRNAs have two regions of fundamental functional importance: the anti-codon, which is responsible for specific mRNA codon recognition, and the 3' end, to which the tRNAs corresponding amino acid is attached (by aminoacyl-tRNA synthetases). tRNAs cope with the degeneracy of the genetic code in two manners: having more than one tRNA (with a specific anti-codon) for a particular amino acid; and 'wobble' base-pairing, i.e. permitting non-standard base-pairing at the 3rd anti-codon position. The record is from Rfam. Lineage: Eukaryota; Metazoa; Chordata; Mammalia; Proboscidea; Elephantidae.
GCAGUGGUGGUUUGGUGGUAGUAGCCUAGCCUUCCAUGCAGGAGACCCGGGUUCAAUUCCCAGCCAGUGCA